This 253-nucleotide ribosomal RNA is filed under the name uncultured bacterium. Its description in RNAcentral is "partial 16S ribosomal RNA". It matches the Rfam family "Bacterial small subunit ribosomal RNA", at positions 524 to 776 of the family's 1533-position model. The record is from RNAcentral.
UACAGAGGUCCCAAGCGUUGUUCGGAUUCACUGGGCGUAAAGGGUGCGUAGGUGGUGGGGUAAGUCGGAUGUGAAAGCUCGGAGCUCAACUCCGAAAUGGCAUUGGAAACUACCCUGCUAGAGGAUUGGAGGGGGGACUGGAAUACUUGGUGUAGCAGUGAAAUGCGUAGAUAUCAAGUGGAACACCAGUUGCGAAGGCGGCUCUCUGGACCAGCACUGACACUGAGGCACGAAAGCGUGGGGAGCAAACAGG